GUUAAUAAGGGCGCACGGUGGAUGCCUUGGCACUAGAAGCCGAAGAAGGACGUGACUAACGACGAAAUGCUUUGGGGAGCUGUAAGUAAGCGCUGAUCCAGAGAUGUCCGAAUGGGGGAACCCACUAGUUAAUGACUAGUAUCCAUAUCUGUUAAGGAUAUGAGAAGGAAGACGCAGUGAACUGAAACAUCUAAGUAGCUGCAGGAAGAGAAAGCAAAAGCGAUUGCCUUAGUAGCGGCGAGCGAAACGGCAGGAGGGCAAACCGAAGUGUUUACACUUCGGGGUUGUAGGACUGCGAUAUAGGAUUAAUCAUUAUAGAAGAAUUACCUGGGAAGGUAAGCCAAAGAGAGUAACAGCCUCGUAUUUAAAAUGAUAGAUUAACCUUAGCAGUAUCCUGAGUACGGCGAGACACGCGAAAUCUCGUCGGAAUCUGGGAGGACCAUCUCCCAACCCUAAAUACUCUCUAGUGACCGAUAGUGAACCAGUACCGUGAGGGAAAGGUGAAAAGCACCCCGGGAGGGGAGUGAAAUAGAACCUGAAACCGUGUGCCUACAACAAGUUCGAGCCCGUUAAUGGGUGAGAGCGUGCCUUUUGUAGAAUGAACCGGCGAGUUACGAUAUGAUGCGAGGUUAAGUUGAAGAGACGGAGCCGUAGGGAAACCGAGUCUUAAUAGGGCGUCAUAGUAUCAUGUUGUAGACCCGAAACCAUGUGACCUACCCAUGAGCAGGUUGAAGGUGAGGUAAAACUCACUGGAGGACCGAACCAGGGCACGUUGAAAAGUGCUUGGAUGACUUGUGGGUAGCGGAGAAAUUCCAAACGAACUUGGAGAUAGCUGGUUCUCUCCGAAAUAGCUUUAGGGCUAGCGUCGAUGUUAAGUCUCUUGGAGGUAGAGCACUGUUUGGGUGAGGGGUCCAUCCCGGAUUACCAAUCUCAGAUAAACUCCGAAUGCCAACGAGAUAUAAUCGGCAGUCAGACUGCGAGUGCUAAGAUCCGUAGUCGAAAGGGAAACAGCCCAGACCACCAGCUAAGGUCCCAAAAUAUAUGUUAAGUGGAAAAGGAUGUGGGGUUGCACAGACAACUAGGAUGUUAGCUUAGAAGCAGCUAUUCAUUCAAAGAGUGCGUAAUAGCUCACUAGUCGAGUGACCCUGCGCCGAAAAUGUACCGGGGCUAAAACAUAUUACCGAAGCUGUGGAUGACACAAAAGUGUCAUGGUAGGAGAGCGUUCUAUGUGUGAAGAAGGUGUACCGUGAGGAGCGCUGGAACGCAUAGAAGUGAGAAUGCCGGUAUGAGUAGCGCAAGACAGGUGAGAAUCCUGUCCACCGUAAGACUAAGGUUUCCAGGGGAAGGCUCGUCCGCCCUGGGUUAGUCGGGACCUAAGGAGAGACCGAAAGGUGUAUCCGAUGGACAACAGGUUGAUAUUCCUGUACUAGAGUAUAUAGUGAUGGAGGGACGCAGUAGGCUAACUAAACCAGACGAUUGGAAGUGUCUGGU
This 1491-nucleotide ribosomal RNA is filed under the name Streptococcus agalactiae. RNAcentral describes it as "bacterial LSU rRNA". It matches the Rfam family "Bacterial large subunit ribosomal RNA", at positions 1 to 1512 of the family's 2925-position model. Lineage: Bacteria; Bacillati; Bacillota; Bacilli; Lactobacillales; Streptococcaceae. The record is from RNAcentral.